Molecule: long non-coding RNA, 674 nt
Organism: Xiphophorus couchianus (Monterrey platyfish)
Lineage: Eukaryota; Metazoa; Chordata; Actinopteri; Cyprinodontiformes; Poeciliidae
Exons: 2
Source: RefSeq, a predicted model, not a curated record
CUUUUCCACCGGCUCUACUUCAGCAGCUCGGCUCUAUUUCGGAGUGACCGCGUUUCCACCGGCCGGCUCGGCUCUGUAGCACGGUGCCGCCCCCUGGUGGUGGGGGUUGUAGCGCUCCGCCUCCAGGCGCCAUGUGAUGUGCUUCGUUACGCGACCUAACGCCAGAUGUUGUUUUUCUGGGACAAAAGAAGAAGAGAGAGCUGAGCUAUUGUUUUAUAGCCAAUUGUGAUUUUUCUGGGACUUCAAGAAAAUGCGCGGUGGGAGGAAAACUGUGAUGUGGUGAGGAAGAGGAGGAGGAGGAAGAGGAGGAGGACAGCUGAUCUCCACCUUGCAGGGAGGAAAGCAGGUGGUUCAGACGGUGCAGAUGUUGGUGAACUGCAGACCAUCGCGGUUCUUCCUGCAGCCUCUGAGUUGGAGGAUCUCAUCAGUGUCCGUCUUCCUGACCGCCGGUCGGUUUUUACCUCCAGGAUGUCCAGAGACCUUCAGCUUCUGGAGCAGGAACCACAUGAGCUCCAUGUGCUGAUGAAACAUUUCUAAUUUCAAAUGUGUCUGAUGUUCUUAGAGUUGAAGUGCAUUAACAAUCUGUUGUUUUUCACUUCAAUAUGUUUAAUUAUGAUUCAUCUGACGUCCAAGUUACACUGAGAACAAAUAAAACUGUUUUCCUUCUAAUCUGA